UACGGAGGGUGCAAGCGUUAUCCGGAUUCACUGGGUUUAAAGGGUGCGUAGGCGGGUAGGUAAGUCAGUGGUGAAAUCUUCGAGCUUAACUCGGAAACUGCCUUUGAUACUAUCUAUCUUGAAUAUUGUGGAGGUAAGCGGAAUAUGUCAUGUAGCGGUGAAAUGCUUAGAUAUGACAUAGAACACCUAUUGCGAAGGCAGCUUACUACGCAUAUAUUGACGCUGAGGCACGAAAGCGUGGGGAUCAAACAGG
This 253-nucleotide ribosomal RNA is filed under the name uncultured bacterium. RNAcentral's name for it is "partial 16S ribosomal RNA". It matches the Rfam family "Bacterial small subunit ribosomal RNA", at positions 524 to 776 of the family's 1533-position model. The record is from RNAcentral.